GACGAACGCUGGCGGUGUGCUUAACACAUGCAAGUCGAACGGAAAGGCCCUGCUUUUGUGGGGUGCUCGAGUGGCGAACGGGUGAGUAACACGUGAGUAACCUGCCCUUGACUUUGGGAUAACUUCAGGAAACUGGGGCUAAUACCGGAUAGGAGCUCCUGCUGCAUGGUGGGGGUUGGAAAGUUUCGGCGGUUGGGGAUGGACUCGCGGCUUAUCAGCUUGUCGGUGGGGUAGUGGCUUACCAAGGCUUUGACGGGUAGCCGGCCUGAGAGGGUGACCGGCCACAUUGGGACUGAGAUACGGCCCAGACUCCUACGGGAGGCAGCAGUGGGGAAUAUUGCACAAUGGGCGGAAGCCUGAUGCAGCAACGCCGCGUGCGGGAUGACGGCCUUCGGGUUGUAAACCGCUUUCGCCUGUGACGAAGCGUGAGUGACGGUAAUGGGUAAAGAAGCACCGGCUAACUACGUG
Molecule: ribosomal RNA, 468 nt
Filed under: uncultured bacterium
Lineage: Bacteria
Description: partial 16S ribosomal RNA
Rfam family: Bacterial small subunit ribosomal RNA
Source: RNAcentral